GGGUUUGCAGUAGAGGCGAGGGUAUCCUGCUGGGGAUCUCUGUGUAGUUGUGGUCUUUGGAAGGGUUGCUGAUUUCCCAGUGAUGAGUCACUGAAAGCAGUCACAGAGCUAAAACCCAGAAGCUGGAGGGAGUGAUAUCAACUGUUCUGUAACUACACCAAGGGCUGUAACACCAAUCAGACUGGUGUUUUGGAGUGUCUGCAGUCUCAUGAGGAUUAGAGGCUACUCCUUAACUCAGAGAUGAGGUUUUCGACCAGCAGCUCUUUCUGCACCUGGUGAAGUCAACAGGAGAGCAUUCAGAGCACUCCAUGAGAAGAUACGUCCAACGAAGCCCAUGACUAGAGUGACCAGUAAGAAAGGGAAAGAAGAUUUGAGAAUGCCAUAAAGACUAUAUUUACCUCUAGAAAAUCAGCAAUAUUUCAGAGGAGGCUAUCUGCAUGUCCAGACUUCAGAUACCCGCUCCACCUCUGGUCAAUCCCAUGCCCAGUGCCUUGGGAUGUAACAUUCAUGCCAUAGAUAUGAAUCUGGCAAGGCUUUUUUCUUGAUUCAGGAAUGUGAAAAAGGGAAGACUGAUACUUAGAUGAAUUCUGCAACUCAAAAUAGCCUCAACUAGCUUUACCUCCACUUUCCUUGGCUUUUAUUUUAAUUCUGCUCAAAGUAGACUUCUACCAGUUGAGGUGAAACAAGGUUCAAGGUUUUAUGGGCGUGU
Long non-coding RNA from Gallus gallus (chicken), 709 nucleotides. Lineage: Eukaryota; Metazoa; Chordata; Aves; Galliformes; Phasianidae. The record is from Ensembl.